RNAcentral lists this ribosomal RNA (496 nucleotides) under uncultured bacterium. RNAcentral describes it as "partial 16S ribosomal RNA". It matches the Rfam family "Bacterial small subunit ribosomal RNA", at positions 28 to 507 of the family's 1533-position model. The record is from RNAcentral.
GAUGAACGCUGGCGGCGUGCCUAAUACAUGCAAGUCGAGCGAACGGACGAGAAGCUUGCUUUUCUGAUGUUAGCGGCGGACGGGUGAGUAACACGUGGAUGACCUACCUAUAAGACUGGGAUAACUUCGGGAAACCGGAGCUAAUACCGGAUAAUAUUUUGAACCGCAUGGUUCAAAAGUGAAAGACGGUCUUGCUGCCACUUAUAGAUGGAUCCGCGCUGCAUUAGCUAGUUGGUAAGGUAACGGCUUACCAAGGCAACGAUGCAUAGCCGACCUGAGAGGGUGAUCGGCCACACUGGAACUGAGACACGGUCCAGACUCCUACGGGAGGCAGCAGUAGGGAAUCUUCCGCAAUGGGCGAAAGCCUGACGGAGCAACGCCGCGUGAGUGAUGAAGGUCUUCGGAUCGUAAAACUCUGUUAUUAGGGAAGAACAUAUGUGUAAGUAACUGUGCACAUCUUGACGGUACCUAAUCAGAAGCCACGGCUAACUACGUG